AGUAACGCGUAGAAAUCUGCCUGGUAGUGGGGGAUAGCCCAGAGAAAUUUGGAUUAAUACCGCAUACGCCCUACGGGGGAAAGCAGGGGACCUUCGGGCCUUGCGCUAUCAGAUGAGUCUGCGUCGGAUUAGCUUGUUGGUGAGGUAAUGGCUCACCAAGGCGACGAUCCGUAGCUGGUCUGAGAGGAUGAUCAGCCACACUGGGACUGAGACACGGCCCAG
This 222-nucleotide ribosomal RNA is filed under the name uncultured bacterium. RNAcentral's name for it is "partial 16S ribosomal RNA". It matches the Rfam family "Bacterial small subunit ribosomal RNA", at positions 109 to 334 of the family's 1533-position model. The record is from RNAcentral.